CUACGGGGGGCUGCAGUGGGGAAUAUUGCACAAUGGGCGCAAGCCUGAUGCAGCCACGCCGCGUGUAUGAAGAAGGCCUUCGGGUUGUAAAGUACUUUCAGCGGGGAGGAAGGGAGUAAAGUUAAUACCUUUGCUCAUUGACGUUACCCGCAGAAGAAGCACCGGCUAACUCCGUGCCAGCAGCCGCGGUAAUACGGAGGGUGCAAGCGUUAAUCGGAAUUACUGGGCGUAAAGCGCACGCAGGCGGUUUGUUAAGUCAGAUGUGAAAUCCCCGGGCUCAACCUGGGAACUGCAUCUGAUACUGGCAAGCUCGAGUCUCGUAGAGGGGGGUAGAAUUCCAGGUGUAGCGGUGAAAUGCGUAGAGAUCUGGAGGAAUACCGGUGGCGAAGGCGGCCCCCUGGACGAAGACCGACGCUCAGGUGCGAAAGCGUGGGGGGCAAACAGGAUUAGAUACCCUUGUAGUC
RNAcentral lists this ribosomal RNA (464 nucleotides) under uncultured bacterium. Its description in RNAcentral is "partial 16S ribosomal RNA". It matches the Rfam family "Bacterial small subunit ribosomal RNA", at positions 339 to 795 of the family's 1533-position model. The record is from RNAcentral.